Molecule: non-coding RNA, 196 nt
Organism: Capsicum annuum
Lineage: Eukaryota; Viridiplantae; Streptophyta; Magnoliopsida; Solanales; Solanaceae
Source: Rfam
AUUCUUGCAAGACGCAGAUUAACGCCAUGGGGUAGUAUCAGUUCUUAUCAGUUUAAUAUCUCAUAUAUGGGACAUUGGUCCGCACGCUAUUAACUCAAUUAUUUUGACGGGGGAAGGCUCAUCAAAGUAGCUUGCUACUUGGGCUUUUCUGCGUCGCCUAGGUGUUGCACUACUGCUCAGGCCUGACAUACCCCAC